This 420-nucleotide ribosomal RNA is filed under the name Fusobacteriota bacterium. Its description in RNAcentral is "Fusobacteria bacterium partial 16S ribosomal RNA". It matches the Rfam family "Bacterial small subunit ribosomal RNA", at positions 355 to 776 of the family's 1533-position model. Lineage: Bacteria; Fusobacteriati; Fusobacteriota. The record is from RNAcentral.
UGGGGGAUAUUGCACAAUGGGCGAAAGCCUGAUGCAGCGACGCCGCGUGGGGGAUGAAGGCCUUCGGGUUGUAAACUUCUUUUGCUCUGAACAAGGCAUGCCUUUGGGGUGUGUUGAGUGUAGGGGUUGAUUAGCGCCGGCUAACUACGUGCCAGCAGCCGCGGUAAUACGUAGGGCGCGAGCGUUGUCCGGAAUUAUUGGGCGUAAAGGGCUUGUAGGUGGCUGGUUGCGUCUGUCGUGAAAGCUCGUGGCUUAACUGUGGGUUUGCGGUGGGUACGGGCUGGCUUGAGUGCAGUAGGGGAGGCUGGAAUUCCUGGUGUAGCGGUGGAAUGCGCAGAUAUCAGGAGAAAUACCGGUGGCGAAGGCGGGUCUCUGGGCUGUUUCUGACGCUGGGGAGCGAAAGCGUGGGGAGCGAACAGG